Molecule: ribosomal RNA, 795 nt
Filed under: uncultured Pelagibacteraceae bacterium
Lineage: Bacteria; Pseudomonadati; Pseudomonadota; Alphaproteobacteria; Candidatus Pelagibacterales; Candidatus Pelagibacteraceae
Description: bacterial SSU rRNA
Rfam family: Bacterial small subunit ribosomal RNA
Source: RNAcentral
CGCCUAACACAUGCAAGUCGAACGAAGUAGCAAUACUUAGUGGCAGACGGGUGAGUAACAUGUAGGUAUCUACCCUUUGGCCUGGAAUAACACGAGGAAACUUGUGCUAAUACCGGAUAAGUCUUUACGGAGAAAGCUUUAUGCACCAUUGGAUGAGCCUGCACUUGAUUAGUUUGUUGGUAGGGUAAUGGCCUACCAAGACUGUGAUCAAUAGCUGAUUUGAGAGGAUGAUCAGCCACAUUGGGACUGAGACACGGCCCAAACUCCUACGGGAGGCAGCAGUGGGGAAUCUUGCACAAUGGAGGAAACUCUGAUGCAGCGAUGCCGCGUGAGUGAAGAAGGCCUUUGGGUUGUAAAGCUCUUUCGUCGGGGAAGAAAAUGACUGUACCCGAAUAAGAAGGUCCGGCUAACUUCGUGCCAGCAGCCGCGGUAAUACGAAGGGACCUAGCGUAGUUCGGAAUUACUGGGCUUAAAGAGUUCGUAGGUGGUUGAAAAAGUUGGUGGUGAAAUCCCAGAGCUUAACUCUGGAACUGCCAUCAAAACUUUUCAGCUAGAGUAUGAUAGAGGAAAGCAGAAUUUCUAGUGUAGAGGUGAAAUUCGUAGAUAUUAGAAAGAAUACCAAUUGCGAAGGCAGCUUUCUGGAUCAUUACUGACACUGAGGAACGAAAGCAUGGGUAGCGAAGAGGAUUAGAUACCCUCGUAGUCCAUGCCGUAAACGAUGUGUGUUAGACGUUGGAAAUUUAUUUUCAGUGUCGCAGCGAAAGCGAUAAACACACCGCCUGGGGAGUACGACCG